UACGUAGGGUGCGAGCGUUAAUCGGAAUUACUGGGCGUAAAGCGUGCGCAGGCGGUUUUGUAAGACAGAUGUGAAAUCCCCGGGCUCAACCUGGGACCUGCAUUUGUGACUGCAAGGCUAGAGUACGGUAGAGGGGGAUGGAAUUCCGCGUGUAGCAGUGAAAUGCGUAGAUAUGCGGAGGAACACCGAUGGCGAAGGCAAUCCCCUGGACCUGUACUGACGCUCAUGCACGAAAGCGUGGGGAGCAAACAGGAUUAGAUACCCUGGUAGUCCACGCCCUAAACGAUGUCAACUGGUUGUUGGGUCUUUACUGACUCAGUAACGAAGCUAACGCGUGAAGUUGACCGCCUGGGGAGUACGGCCGCAAGGUUGAA
Molecule: ribosomal RNA, 374 nt
Filed under: uncultured bacterium
Lineage: Bacteria
Description: bacterial SSU rRNA
Rfam family: Bacterial small subunit ribosomal RNA
Source: RNAcentral